UUGACGGGACCCGCACAAGCGUGGAUGAUGUGGAUUAAUUCGAUGCAACGCGAAAACCUUACCUACCCUUGACAUGCCAGGAACCCUGCUGAGAGGUGGGGGUGGCUCGAAAGAGAGCCUGGACACAGGUGCUGCAUGGCUGUCGUCAGCUCGUGUCGUGAGAUGUUGGGUUAAGUCCCGCAACGAGCGCAACCCUUGUCAUUAGUUGCCAUCAUUCAGUUGGGCACUCUAAUGAGACUGCCGGUGACAAACCGGAGGAAGGUGGGGAUGACGUCAAGUCCUCAUGGCCCUUAUGGGUAGGGCUUCACACGUCAUACAAUGGUCGGUACAGAGGGUUGCCAACCCGCGAGGGGGAGCCAAUCCCAUAAAGCCAGUCGUAGUCCGGAUCGUAGUCUGCAACUCGACUACGUGAAGUCGGAAUCGCUAGUAAUCGUGGAUCAGAAUGUCACGGUGAAUACGUUCCCGGGUCUU
RNAcentral lists this ribosomal RNA (471 nucleotides) under uncultured Rhodocyclaceae bacterium. RNAcentral describes it as "bacterial SSU rRNA". It matches the Rfam family "Bacterial small subunit ribosomal RNA", at positions 910 to 1382 of the family's 1533-position model. The record is from RNAcentral. Lineage: Bacteria; Pseudomonadati; Pseudomonadota; Betaproteobacteria; Rhodocyclales; Rhodocyclaceae.